CCUUAUUGACGACAUCUAUAAUUUGGAUAUUUGUGUCUUUGAUAUCGAGUAGUUUUGUGAUAAAAUGUAAUUGU
Molecule: transfer RNA, 74 nt
Filed under: Streptococcus pneumoniae SPNA45
Lineage: Bacteria; Bacillati; Bacillota; Bacilli; Lactobacillales; Streptococcaceae
Description: tRNA-Arg-ACG
Source: RNAcentral